RNAcentral lists this ribosomal RNA (227 nucleotides) under Enterobacter hormaechei. Its description in RNAcentral is "partial 23S ribosomal RNA". It matches the Rfam family "Bacterial large subunit ribosomal RNA", at positions 2704 to 2925 of the family's 2925-position model. The record is from RNAcentral. RNAcentral also lists the same sequence under 1 other name. Lineage: Bacteria; Pseudomonadati; Pseudomonadota; Gammaproteobacteria; Enterobacterales; Enterobacteriaceae.
CAUCACUGGUGUUCGGGUUGUCAUGCCAAUGGCACUGCCCGGUAGCUAAAUGCGGAAGAGAUAAGUGCUGAAAGCAUCUAAGCACGAAACUUGCCCCGAGAUGAGUUCUCCCUGAGACCUUGAGUCUCCUGAAGGAACGUUGAAGACGACGACGUUGAUAGGUCGGGUGUGUAAGCGCAGCGAUGCGUUGAGCUAACCGAUACUAAUGAACCGUGAGGCUUAACCUU